AAUCAACGCUGGCGGCGUGCCUAACACAUGCAAGUCGAACGCGAAAGGGGCUUCGGCCCUGAGUAGAGUGGCAAACGGGUGAGUAACACGUGGGUGACCUACCUUCGAAUGGGGGAUAACGUCCCGAAAGGGACGCUAAUACCGCAUAACAUCCUGCCUUUGAACAGGUGGAGAUCAAAGCUGGGGAUCGCAAGACCUGGCGUUUGAAGAGGGGCCCGCGUCCGAUUAGCUAGUUGGNGAGGU
This 243-nucleotide ribosomal RNA is filed under the name uncultured bacterium. RNAcentral describes it as "partial 16S ribosomal RNA". It matches the Rfam family "Bacterial small subunit ribosomal RNA", at positions 32 to 258 of the family's 1533-position model. The record is from RNAcentral.